GGCGGCGUGCCUAAUACAUGCAAGUGGGACGCAAGGAAACACACUGUGCUUGCACACCGUGUUUUCUUGAGUCGCGAACGGGUGAGUAACGCGUAGGUAACCUGCCUAUUAGCGGGGGAUAACUAUUGGAAACGAUAGCUAAUACCGCAUAAUAUUAAUUAUUGCAUGAUAAUUGAUUGAAAGAUGCAAGCGCAUCACUAGUAGAUGGACCUGCGUUGUAUUAGCUAGUUGGUAAGGUAAGAGCUUACCAAGGCGACGAUACAUAGCCGACCUGAGAGGGUGAUCGGCCACACUGGGACUGAGACACGGCCCAGACUCCUACGGGAGGCAGCAGUAGGGAAUCUUCGGCAAUGGACGAAAGUCUGACCGAGCAACGCCGCGUGAGUGAAGAAGGUUUUCGGAUCGUAAAGCUCUGUUGUAAGUCAAGAACGUGUGUGAGAGUGGAAAGUCACACAGG
Molecule: ribosomal RNA, 457 nt
Filed under: Streptococcus mutans
Lineage: Bacteria; Bacillati; Bacillota; Bacilli; Lactobacillales; Streptococcaceae
Description: bacterial SSU rRNA
Rfam family: Bacterial small subunit ribosomal RNA
Source: RNAcentral